Long non-coding RNA from Camarhynchus parvulus, 198 nucleotides. RefSeq lists it as uncharacterized. The record is from RefSeq and is a predicted model, not a curated record. NCBI's taxonomy places the organism in Eukaryota, Metazoa, Chordata, Aves, Passeriformes, Thraupidae. The transcript is spliced from 3 exons.
CGAGUGUGAAGGAGCCCCUGGCUUCUCAGGGCACAGCAGCAACACACAAAGAACACAAAAGGAACCUCAGAAGAUUCCUGGGUGAACGAUUCAGGUGCCAUCCCGUGGGCACGGCGGUGCUGAUUCUGCUGCUCCUGGUGCUGGUGCUGGCUUUGGGGGCGGCCUUGGCUGUGCAGUCAGCAGCACCACAGGUUCCAC